GAUGAACGCUAGCGGCAGGCCUAACACAUGCAAGUCGAGCGGUAGGGACCCUCGGGUCCUGAGAGCGGCGCACGGGUGCGUAACGCGUAUGCAACCUGCCCUGCACAGGGGAAUAGCCCGUCGAAAGGCGGAUUAAUGCCCCAUGGUACCUUGCCUGGGCAUCCAGGCGGGGUUAAAGAUUCAUCGGUGCAGGAUGGGCAUGCGGGCCAUUAGCUGGAUGGUGGGGUAACGGCCCACCAUGGCGACGAUGGCUAGGGGUUCUGAGAGGAAGGCCCCCCACACUGGGACUGAGACACGGCCCAGACUCCUACGGGAGGCAGCAGUGAGGAAUAUUGGUCAAUGGGCGGAAGCCUGAACCAGCCAUGCCGCGUGCGGGAAGAAGGCGCUACGCGUCGUAAACCGCUUUUGUCCGGGGGUAACCGCGGGGACGUGUCCCCGCCUGCAAGCACCGGACGAAUAAGGGUCGGCUAACUCCGUGCCAGCAGCCGCCGUAA
This 494-nucleotide ribosomal RNA is filed under the name uncultured bacterium. RNAcentral describes it as "partial 16S ribosomal RNA". It matches the Rfam family "Bacterial small subunit ribosomal RNA", at positions 28 to 523 of the family's 1533-position model. The record is from RNAcentral.